RNAcentral lists this long non-coding RNA (14954 nucleotides) under Populus tremula. RNAcentral describes it as "long non-coding RNA (PTRE_LNC003468)". The record is from RNAcentral. Lineage: Eukaryota; Viridiplantae; Streptophyta; Magnoliopsida; Malpighiales; Salicaceae.
CCAAAUUGUACACAGAUUCUUACAUGACGACAACAAACAUUUCCCCAUCUUCAAUUGUUGUUGAAGUCCUAAGAGGUGAUAACUAUGAUGAUUGGAGUGCCUGCAUGAAAAGCUACAUGUUAGCUCAAGACCUCUGGGAUUUUAUUUAGCCUACUGGUCUUCAAGAAGGUGAUCAAGAAGUUGACUCUAAGCCUAUUGAUCAUCAAGAAGGUGACUCUAAGGCAUUGAGAAGAAAGAAUGCUGCAGCUUUACAUGCAAUUCAAGUUUCUUGUGCACCACACAUGCUUUCCAAGAUUAGGAGCAUCACUUCAGCCAAAGAUGCCUGGGAUACUCUAGCCAAUUUGCACCGACAACAUUCACCAAGCCACAAAGAGCAAUCUGUUGAAGCAGAGCCAGCAGAAGAUGAUGAGUCACAAGGUUCACGUAUACCAUGACCUCAUUCUCUUCCUUAACUUGUUAGAUUUCCAAUCACUUCGAUCUCUUGAUGUUAACACGGGAGAGAAUAAAAACCUUGGCAGGAGCGGUGAAUGGUCUCUUGCAAACGCUGUACAAGGAUGCCCAUAAUGGAGACUGGGAUGCCAUAAAAACCUAUCUUAGCCAUUACCCAAAUGCAAGAAAGGCCAAGCUUAAACCCUAUGGUGAAACUGCCCUUCAUGUAGCAGCUGAUGCUGGAAAUCUGAAAGUUGUGGAGGAGUUGGUGAAGUUGAUGUCAGUAGAAGAAUUGGAAAUAAAAGAUAAUCAAGGCAACACAGCUCUUUUUAGUGCUGCUACUGUUGGAAUCACAAAGAUGGCAGAAUGUUUGGUGAGAAAGAACGAACACUUGGUUACCUUUGUAAAUGCACAAAAACAGAUCCCACUUGUUGGGGCAUGUAUAUGUAAUCAUAAGGAUAUGGCUCUUUAUCUAUACUCUGUUACUCCAUCUGAAUUUCUUUGUCAAGUUGAUGGCCACCAUGGAUCUUAUUUCCUACAAUGUGCUAUUGAUGCUCAAAUAGUCGGUAAGAAACUUUACCCCUUAAUUACUUAUUUCCCCUUUUUUCUUCUUUUUCUUCAUGCUUUUUGCAUAAAUUAAUUUUCUCUUCCGAGUAAAUUAUUAUUUAUUUCCUGUAAUUUAAUAAAAAUAAUUCAUUAAUAUGUUUUUAAGAAAUAUUUGAAUAAUCCUUUUUGUUUUUAACUUCAAAUCAUUUUGUCAGUUUCAUGUGAUUUUUUAAUUAAUUAUUUUUUCUUCUUUUUAAAUAAUAUAAAAGGGAAGGAAAAUCAGGUAAGAUGGGAAAAGAAGGCAAUAAUAAAUUGAUACGAAACACUAAAACGUCAUCUUUCUUGUUGCUUCUUAUGCUGUUUCUUUUUGCUAUUGCAAUACCAGAUAUUGCUCUUGAUUUUCUGCAUCGCUUCCCAUAUAUGGCUACUGCAAAGGAUGAGGUUCUGGAGACGAACGCUUUGUUUCGUUUGUCUAAGAUGACUCAAUUAUUCCCAAGUAAAAGUCGGCUUGCAUUUUGGCAGCAAUGGAUCUAUUCAUGUUAGUAUCUCUUCCUUUGAUUUUUCCUCUUCCCAUUUCUCUUCAUUUCCUCUGCCAAUCUUUUUUACGUUUAAUGUUCUGUAUGUUUUUGGAGAUCAUCACUCCGUCACAAAGAAAGAAAGGUUCUAUAUGAUAUAAUUUUUGUAAAUUGAGACGAGUUAUUUUUUAAUUUUUGACCCAUAGAAAAAUUGUAAAUAUAUUUAGUUAGAAAUGAUUUUUGGUUUAAAUCAAAAUUUAUUACAAAACUGAGUCAAAAUUUUAAUGUCAUCUAAAGUUUAGGAAAAAAUUAAACUUUAAUUUAUGAAUUUCAACUUAUAAUAUAUCUAUUCUUUAAAAGAAUUACUUUAAAUUUUUUUUAUCAAACAUAUUUCUAAAAUAAAGUUAUUUGAACCUUUUUUUAUAUAAAUGAUCUAUAAAAAAACUACUUUUUAAAUUAUGAUUCUGUUAAAAAAUCAUUUUUUUCAUAAGUUAUGAUAGGCAAACUUGAAGUUAUAUUCGCUAAGAUUGACUUGAUUCUAAAAUCAUGGCAGGUAUUCCCAUGCAAUCAAUUGCUACAACUGAUGACAAUGUUCGUAUUAAUAUGCCUGAUCAAAGCCUAAGUGAGUCGAAGAACAUUAUCCUCCAAGGUACGUAUUUGCACAAAUCUCUCUCUGUUUUUGCUCCCUCUCCUUUAAAGGGGUAUGGCAAGCACAGGACAUAUGUAUACAAGUCUAAUUGGGCUGCAUGGCCCUUCAAGAUUGUAAAAAUCUUGGCCCCCCGAAAUUUUGGACAGUUUCUUUCUCUCUUUCUUGAUUUAUUUAUUUCUAUUUUCUGAAAAUAUAAACUUUUUUGAACCCUAAUCCAAGUAUCCGAUCCUUUAUUCAAUCCCAAAUCCAAUAAAUCUCAUAUUUUUUUUUUAUAAAUUUAGCUGGUCCACGCAUCGGGUCCGCAUAAAACAUUUUAUCAUAUUAAGUUAAUGUACAAAACUUUUUGUUACUGGGGCAAUUAUCAUUAGAUUGAAAACUUAAUACAUUCAAGUUUGAUUAGUAUACAUAUAUGCUGCUUGUGAUAAUUUCUCUAAUUUGUUUUUGUCCAACUUUUCAGUGUCAAGAAAUUGCGUGGGUUUGCAAUAAAUCUCCUCGCAUUCUUAGGUAAGCAAAAUAUAUCUGACGUCUCUUGAUUUCUGUCAUCAUUAUCAUGGUUUUAUCUGAUCACUUUUUAAUGGUUGAUCCAGGAAUCAAGAAAAUGUAUGAUUUGAAGAAGAUCCACAUUUAUUCAUAUAAAAUUCUACGGCGUAUGUGUAUGCAUAUAUCAACUCUGGAUUAUGAGGAAUACCACAAGGCAGGUAUACUCGGAGCAUUCCACAAUGCUGUAGAGAAUGACAUGGUUGAGUUUAUUACUGAGGUGAUUAAACAUUGUCCUCAUGUAAUGUUUAGUGGAGAUGACAACUCAUGGGACCUAUUUAUGUACUCCAUUGCAAACCGGCAAGAAAAAGUGUACAGCCAUUUCUAUGGAUUGGAAGCAAAAAGAGCACGAUUUGUUUCCAUCGUAGAUGCAUCUGGAAAUACGCUGCUACAUUUGGCUUUCUACACUCAACAUCUUUAAACCCUAAACCCAUUUACACAACAUCGUAGAUACAUUUGGAGAACUACAAUGGUACAAGGUGAGCUUUCUACACUCAACAUCUUUAAAAAAAAUUGAUUGAACCUUGCUCAAAGAUAUUUUAGAACUGAUUAAGACCUAAUUGAUUUGAGUUUAGGCUACCCAUUUACACUUUCAUUUUUAUCCGAAAAGAAAUAAUUUCACUCGAAUUCAAAAAUCUUGAUGCAGGAAGUGGAAACCAUUAUACAUCCUAUAAUUGAGGAUUAUCGUAAUGGGAACAAUCAGACACCCAGGGAAUUAUUUACGGAUGGCCAUAAGCACUUGCUAGUGAAAGGAGAGCAAUGGAUGAAAGAAGCAGCAACUUCUUGUACAGUUGUGGGCGCUCUCAUCAUUACAAUUAUGUUUACUGUUGCAUUUACUGUUCCGGUGGCAACGAUCAAGAGACCGGCUAUCCGGUUUUUAAAGAUGAGAAAUCUUUUACAGUUUUUAUAGUAGCGGAUGCAGUCUCUCUCUUUUCUUCAUCAACAUCAGUGUUGAUGUUCUUAGGAAUUCUUACGUCGCGAUACGCAGAGGAAGAUUUCCUUAAGUCCUUGCCCACUAAGUUGAUCAUCGGCCUUUCCAUGCUUUUCUUCUCCAUUGCAGCCAUGAUGGUAACCUUCUGUGCUGCUCUUAUAAUCAUGUUGGAUGGGAGAUUGCAAGUUAUAAUUCCAAUUGUACUCCUUGCUAGUAUCCCUGUAACUUUGUUCAUGUUGCUGCAAUUUCCCCUGCUAGUGGAGAUUUUUGUAUCCACAUAUGGACCAGGAAUCUUCAACAGAAAAAUGAAACGCUGGUACUGAUUAAUGGUGAUAGACUGUUAGAGGUUUGCAGUUUAUUAAUUGUCCCAAUCUGUUUAGCAAUUCCUAUUUCCCCGGGAUGAGAUGUAUAGCGCGUGGGUUGUAAUGGGACUAGUUGUUUUCUGUUCCUCUUAGUAUGUUUAGAGUAUGUAUAGCGCGUGGGUUGUUAUUUUGAUUGCUGCAUCUCUUUGUAAAAGGCUAUAUAAGCCUGCUGUUUGUGAUGAAUAAGCAAGAGACUUCUCAUUCAAGACUGUGUGCUGCUGUAGUUUCUUCUGAGUCUUUUUCUACAAAUGGAAGGUUAACCAUUUCCAUCGUUCUCUCUGAUCAUGCAUUUGGCCAUCUUUGUGAUUCCUUCCAUAGCUGUACAGCCACAAUUAUCUUCUCUUUCCAAGUCUUUGGGUGACAUUAAUACUGCAAUUUUUUAUAGUUACGGAGUACUAAUUAAACAUAAGAGCAAAUAUAAAUUUUAACAAAAAAGCAGGUUCUAAAAAUCUAACAAAAUAAUCUACUAACAAGCUAUAAAUCUGAAAAAAUAAAUAAUAAAAAGAUAAGUUCAACAACUCAGUAAACUCACCUUCUUCUUAUUAUUUUUCCUCAAAUUUCUUUUUAUUUCCUCUAUUCAAAACAUAUAAUGUUCUAUGUGUUGGAGAUUAUUACAUCAUAAUUGAUAUAUAUUUUGAGAGAAAAGAAAAAAAAUGAUUUGACCGCUCUUUGUUACAGGUUGAAUAUUAAUUUUUACCAACAAAAAAGAUAGAAGAUGCAAACUUUUUAAAUGUAUUUUUUUUCAUAAAAUAAUUUUUUAAAAACUUAUGUAUGUGUCUAAUUAAAUAAAUUAAGAAUUAUUUACGUACAUAAAAAAAUAAUUAUUAACGAUAAAUAAAAAUAAAAUUUAAAAAUUUUAAAAACAUAUAUAGAUCAAGAUAUUUAAUAUUGCAGUAUAUGUCAUUUAAUCAUUUGUGUUUAAUAAAUUUGUUUCUUGAAAUUAAUUUUUUAUUAAAUCAAAUGAUAAUAGAAGCCGACAUACAUAAAAUUAAUUGAAUAAAAAAAAAGGAAAAAAAUUAUAUGAAUUGUUGCACGUAUUAUAAAUAUUAUUUCAAAAUAAAUAUUUUUAUUUUAAAAAAUAUAUUUAAUCUAUAUAAAAUGAUAAAAAAAUAUAUAAAUGAAUCAUAUUAAUCUCUUAAAACUUAAAUAUAUAUAAUAUAAUUAAAAAGUAAUUGCCACCAAAAAAAGGUUAAAUAAGCCAACAAAAUCAUAGGGAAUUGUGUUAAUUAAAAAAUAUAUUUAAAAAUUAAUUAAAAAACAUAUAAAAGAUAUUAAUUAAAAAAAUCAAUCAAUAUUGUUGGGUCUAGUAAGUCAAGCUAGUUAUUUGUCCUAUCAGGAAAGGACAAGAGCGCUAGUUUGUAAGACUAAUAUCAUAAGUAGACCCACGUGUAAACGCCCUUAAUUUUUUAAAAACGUUGGUGGAAUGAAUGACAUGUCGUGUGGAAUUAUCUAGAUUUGGGCUAGGAAGACAAGUUUUAUGUUUUUUUGACCUAAAAUACUUAGAAAAAACCUACAAAAAGAAUCGAAAUCAAUCUAAAACCAAAUUAGGCAAUUUUAAGUUACAAACGUAUCUAAGUGGAACUUUCUUAACCAAAUAAAACCCUUGGAUAUAAAGAUGAAUUAUUUUAAUGGUUGAAAUUGGUAUGAUCAUUAUUUUUUUUCUCUCUCUAAUGUUAGAAUCUAAUGACUUUUUUCUUCUCUUUUAAAUUAGAAAUUAAAUAAUAAUAAUAAAUAAAUAAAUUUUUAUAUCAAAAUUAAAUUGAAAAAAUCAUUGAAGAAUUAGAUAUAUAGAAAAACAAAAUUUAUAAUUUUAUCACCACCACACUAUGAUAAAAUUGAAAAUUAUAUUAUUUCUACAUUAGAACAUGUAUAGUAUAUCAUAUAAAAGAUCCAUAUUUCUCCCCAGACGCACUACUAACGGUCCCAACGCCUUUUCUCUCCUAUAAAGAGAGAACAAAAAGAAAAAAGAAGGGGGAAUCGAAGGGAGGAGAGAGAGAGAGAGCGAACAAGAGAGGGAAAAGAGGAAGGAAUAAACCGAAAACAAAAGAAAAGAAAACAGAAAACAAAGAGAAAGGAAGGAAAAGAGAGAAAUAUCAAAAACGAAAAAAAAGAAGGGAAAAAGAAGAAAUCUUUUUUCCCGUCGGUUGAGCAGCAGCACCGCCGCUUGAACCCGCCGUCCGUGAGCCACGACCGCCACCGACCUCCACCGCAGCACCACCCGCGACCGCCUCUUCCACGCCAGGUAACUUCUUCUCCCCCCUUAUUUGUUGGCAUUUUAUUUGCUUUCUCUGCAUGCAGAACGAACGAUUUCCCCCCUGAUGAUGCAUAGAUGGCAAGGCGGAUCCUGAUCCAGCAUUUUUUUUUGGGCCAGACUGAGUAUGGCCCGACCUUGUGUUUGAUGGGCCAGACCAGGUCUGGCCCAUCCCAGCUUUCUGGCCCAAGUUCGUCCCAGAUAUGAGUUUUAUUGGGCCGAGAUCGGCCCAAUCCAUUCUGGGCCAAAAAUCGACCCCAUUCCUGCUGGGCUGAGUCUGGCCCAUUCAGUUGGGUCGGCCCAGCCCACAUAAUAUAUUAUAUUAUAUUAUAUUAUAUUAUAUAUGUAUGUAUAUUUUAAAAAAAUAUAUAAAAAAAUAUUCUAAAAAAUCUUGAAAAAUAUUGUUGAUUUUCCUGCAUUUUUUUUGUUAAAAUGGCUUAAUGUUGGUUUGUAUUUUUAUACUGUAAAGAUACAAAUCCAGUAUAAAAUACCCGGUUUUCGUCAAAACAUCAAAGAUUUUCAAAAUAAAAAAUGUUUUACUUUCAAAAAAAAUUUUUCAAAAGUUCUUUAAAAAUAUUGUUGAUUUUUCCUGCAUAUUUUUAUUAAGGUGGAUUAAUGUUGGUUAGUAUUUUUAUACCGUAAGGAUACAAACCCAGUAUUAAAAUACCUGAUUUUCAUCAAAGCAUAAAAAAAAUAAUAUUUUCCAAAAAAUUGUUUUUUGUUUUAAAAUACGGCCUAGUCUCUCCAAUAUAUAUAUAUAUAUAUAUAUAUAUAUAUAUAUAUAUAUAAAUAUUAUAACAUCAUAUUUUCACACAACAAAGAAAAUUUUCAAAACAAUAUAUGUAUUAGCAUCAUAGUUUUAAAACCCGGACCGGCCCGGCGGGUCGACCCGGGACCCGGCCGACCCGGACAUGAGACCGGUCCGGGUGAAGGCCAAAACCCGCUUGGGAAUUGACCCGGCCAGACCCGGGACCCGGUUGACCCGGCAAGACCUGGCCCCAAACCCGUUGACUUUUAUUUUUUUUUGUUUUUUUUUACUAAAACGACGUCGUUUUGAUUUUUUUUUUAAAAUAAAAAAUAAAUUUUGACCCGGCCGACCUGGCGACCCGGUCGAGACCCGGAACCCGGGCCUUGGACCGGGCCGACCACCGGGCCGGGUCUUAAAACUAUGAUUAGCAUGCAUUUUGGCUUUAAUAACCAGUUUAUUCAAGCCAUGAGAACUAGGUCAAUAUUUCAAAAAUUCUAAAAAAAUCUUUUUGUUUUCUUUUAAUAUUUGGGAUUACGAAUUUAUACGUAAAACGUAUUCCUAAAUAUUAUUAAUAAAGUUUUGGUAUAAACGUUAUAACGGUUAGGAUUUUACCUGAUAAGAUAAAGAUCUCCUUACCGAGGAUGACUUUUCUUAAACCAUACCAACAACUAGGAAAACACGAAAAGAUCUUAGAUUUUAUCAGACAAUAAAACAAUACAGCUUACCUUAAGUAGGGCGUAUUUAGGGUGUUAAUACCUUCCCUUUACGCAACCAGUCCUCGUACCCAAUCUAUGAGACCAGUUAGGGUUCUUAGUGACCAAAAUAUUAGGUGGCGACUUCCAUUUCAUUUUCUACCAAUAAAAGACAAUAUUCUCUUGUCUCCCCAUAUUUUCUAAAUAGAUAUACAUAGAUUUACAUUGUAGAUAAAAAAAAAUAGAACAACUUGUUAUUUUCACCGCGACGCCACACGUGCGACAUAUAUAAAUUGAUAGUUAAUUUAACUAUAUUCAAUCAAACCUGGGGCAUUUAUAAUAAUUUAAUAUUUUAGCGGAUCGCAUAUCCAGUUGUCACCCAUCCGCAGAUGCCCUUUGACCUGAAUGUUGAAUUACGAGGUAGGGCGUUUAUGGAUGACAAUGAGAUGAAAUGAAAGGCUGAGAGUGCUGGACAGUUGAUAGUCUUUGUUUCGAACCGUAGGGAACACCAUAGCAAGAACAAAAACAUAACUUCACUCAAGUUCUUGCCGUCACCCAGACAUUCUCAGCAGUCUGGUCAAGCUUGAGAGAGAGAAGUGAGGGAAAUUAUAAGUGGCUCUGUGAACUGCUACCACACCAUGUAAGUAUUUCAUUGGGUCUUGUUGUUGCUCUGUUCUCUGGCUUUCAUUCGAUGAUAUCUUGGUUCUUGGCUUUCCAGUUUUUCCCCACUCUUUAAUGAUGCAGUGAGUUGCAUGAAGCAAAUUCGAAGCCCUAAAGAAGAUCUGCAUAGCAUGAAGAUCUUACCACUUAGAAAUAAUGGAAAUAUCAUUGCAUCAAUUAUUUACUUAUUUAUUGAGAAUGAUGUAAUAGUACGCAAAAACACCAUUUUAAUGCUUCAUCGGUAGAAAAGAACUUCCAGAACUACAUCAUGAAAUACACUCUAACGUGAUCCAGUUAUGUAGCCCGUCAAUUUUGUACUGAAAAAGUUAGGGCAGAUAUUACUGCUUUUUAAAGGUGUAGAGCAGCUCCGUUUAUGGUUUGCCAUCAAUUAAUAUUAUUAUUUUUCUUAAUCUUAAGAACCAAGAAAAUUGAUGGUUUGCUUAUGGUUUGCCAUUGGCUCGGUAGAUCUUGGCAUCGCUGGUUUUUCUGAUCCUUACCCCCACAUUGUACACAGAUUCUAACAUGACGACGACAAACAAUUUGCAACAACUGAUUCACCAAGCCACGAAGAGCAAUUUGUUGAAGCAGAGUCGUCACAGUCAUCACAAGGUUCAGGUAUACCAUGACCUCAUUCUCUUCCUCUGUUAGAUUUCCAACCACUUCGACCUCUUGAUGUUAACACGGGAGAGAAUAAAAACCUUGGCAGGAGCGGUGAGCAAUGAAAUGAAUGGUCCCUUGCUAACGCUGUACAAGUAUGCCCAUAAUGGAGACUGGGAUGCCAUAAAAACCUAUCUUAGCCAUUACCCAAAUGCAAGAAAGGCCAUGAUUAAACCCUAUGGUGGAACAGCCCUUCAUGUAGCAGCUUUUUCUGGACAUCUGAGGGUUGUGGAGGAGUUGGUGAAGUUGAUGUCAGUAGAAGAAUUGGAAAUACAAGAUCAUCAAGGCAACACAGGUCUUUCUAGUGCUGCCUUUGUUGGAAAAAGAAAGAUGGCAGAAUGUUUGGUGAGAAAGAACAAACACUUGGUUACCUUUGUAAAUGCACAAAAAAAGAUCCCGCUGGUUCAGGCAUGUAUAAGCAACUGUAAGGAUAUGGCUCUUUAUCUAUACUCUGUCACUCCAUUUGAAUUUCUUUGUCAAGGCAAUGGCCACCAUGGAUCUUAUUUCCUACAAUGUGCUAUUGGUGCUCAAAUGCUCGGUAAGAGACUUUACCCCUUAAUUACUUAUCUUCUUCUUCUCUCUUUUAUUCAUGCUCUGUUCGUAAGUCUUCCCUUUCUUUAUUUCCCCUGGUAAAUUAUUAUUUAUUUCCUGUAAUUUAAUAAAACUAAUCAAUCAAUCAAUCAUUAUGGUUUUAAAGAGUACAUGAAUCUUAAAAUCUGUUUAUGGCUUAAAAAGGUAAUAAAUUGGAAUGGUCGAUGUUGGUCAAGGGAUUAUUGAAUAAUUUUUAACACUAAAGGGACUGAUUGGCUAAUAACUCUAAACUAUAGGGACUAGUUUGUAAUUUACUCUUAAUUCCUCCUCCUUUUUUUUUCCUUUUCUUCUUAUAAUAGAUUUUCCCAUGCAAGCAAAUGUGAUAGACUUCACGUUAGUUAUUGAGGGAUUAUCCACUUUUUGUGUGAGAAAUUUACACUUGAUGGUACAUAGAAAUUAGCUAAUUCAUAAACAAAAAUGAGAGAGAGCUUGAUUUCAGAUGGCUUCAUAUGAAACAAAAUGACUUUUAAAUUAAUUUGUUAACAUUUCAAAAUUAGCACUAAAUUAACCUCAUCUCUUCUUGUUCCUUCUUGCGCUGUUUCUUUUGAAUAUUGCAACGCCAGAUAUUGUGUUUGAUUUUCUGCAUCGCUUCCCACAUAUGGCUACUAAAACGGAUGAUGUUCUGAAGUCGAAUGCUUUGAUUCGUUUGUCUACCUCACCUCAAAUAUUUCCAAGCGCAAGUCAACCUGCGUUUUGGCAGCAAUUCAUCUGUUCAUGUUAGUAUCUUUACUCCUCGCUUUCUCUUCGAUUUUUACUCCUCGCUUUUCUCUUCAUUUCCUCUCAGAAAUCUAUUUAACGUCCGUAUAAUAUUUGAUGUGUUCUUAGAAGCUAUCUCACAGUAAUUUAUACAUUCAAGAAAGAAAGAAAAACAGAGAAAGAAAAGAAAGAAAGAAAGUAAACACAUGCAUCCAUGCACAUGGGUUCUUUGUCCUGCCAAAUUAAGUCAAGCUAUCAUUUUAAGAGAAAAACAGCGUGGACAUGAUUUUCAUUAAAAUUAUCUCUAGUUUUAGUUAUGUUUCAAAAGAAAUUGAAAGGGCUAAAGGCGUUUGGAGGCUCAACAACAGCGCAGCAGCAUUGGUGUCUGCUAGAACAGCUUCUUGAUCACCAGAAGCCUUAAAGGCACUUGGGACUAGCGUUUUGCUUGGCCUAGGACACAUGCAUGAUGUCUUUGCUUUUUUACAGUUUUCUUAAUAAAACUGCUCUCUUAAAGCAUCAUCUUUCUUGUUGUUCUUAUGCUGUUUUCUAUUGCAAUCCCAGAUAUUGCUCUUGAUUUUCUGCAUCGCUUCCCAUGGAGGGCGACUAAGGCAUUCUAUACAUUAACCCAGCCAUUGUUAAUUUUGCUGGCAUCAAGCUGGAACAUCGACCAGCAUGGGCAUUUUCAAGCCCAUUCUAGAUGAUUACUAGAAAAUUCCCUAUAGAAGGGGAAGGAAGAAGCAGCUUGAUCUUGAUUGUUUCUCUUUACAUGAACUGCCACCACACCAUGUAAGUAUUUCAUGAGGUUUUCUUGUUGCUCUCUUUUCUUGCUUUCAUUCAAUGGUAUCUUGGUUCUUGGCUUUCCAUUAUUUUCCCCACUCUUUAAUAAUGCAAUGAGUUGCGUGAAGUAAGUUCAAUGUACUGAAAAAAAUUUACAUGGCAUAUAGAUCUUAGCACUAAUUGAAAAUAAUGAAAAUAUUCGUGCAUCGAUUAUUUACUUAUUUAUUGAAAAUGAUGGAAUAGAAGGCAAAAAAUACCAAUUUCAUAUGGUAUCGGUAGAAAAAUACUUCCAAAACCACAUUAUGAAAUACAUUCUAAUGAGAUCCAGUUAAGUAACCCAUCAAUCUUUUAUUGGAAAGGUUAGAGCAAGUAUUACUUCUUUUUCAAGGUCAAUUAGCCGCCCUGCAACUGCUUUUAUGUUUGCUUGUAAUUUUACCAUCUACGCAUCUGGUACAUCACGAUAGCCAUUUAAAAAAAACAAAUUUUUAAAAAAUAGAUAUAUUAUAUCUUAUUAUAAAAUGUCUAGUUGACGAAACAUCUUAUAUAAUAUUACUAGAUGCCAUAAUAUUACUAGAUGCCAUGACCGCGCGAUGCCGUGGACUUGUGGCAUGUUUGUGUGUUUUCGUGAGUUUGUGAAAAAAAUCAUAAAAAAAUAAUAAAAAAAAUUAUAUGGAGAAAAAUUGUUGCAAUCCACAUUAUUUUCAAGAAAAAAGCUAAAUUUCUAACCAGUUUAAUAUUAAAAAUAUAAAAUCGACAAAGGUAAUUUUAGAAAAAAUCAUAACAAAAAAAAGGAAAAAAAAACCAUGUAGUGAAGCACUGUAGUAAUUUAUAGUGUCUCAUGAGAAAAUCUACAGUUGUAAUUCUCAACCAGCUCAAUAUUAAAAAUAAUAAAAUCGAUAAAGUCAAUUUUAAAAAAAAUCACAACAAAAUAAAAUUAUAUGGGGAACACUGUAGCAAUGUACAGUGUUUUAAAGAAAAAAAACUACAAACAACUAGCUCAAUAUGAAGAAAAAAAAUCGACAAAAAAAAUUCUGAAAAAAAAAAUAAAAAAAAGAAGAAUACAAUUUUGGGGAAAAAAAGCAAAAGAAAAAAAAGAAGAAAAAAAAUAUGUAGGGAAAGUUAAAGUUAAAGUUAAAUUUUCAACAAGCUUAAUAUUAAAAAAAAAAAAACAUUCGACAAAAAUGAUUUUGAAAAAAAAACAAGAGGAAACACUGUAACAAAAUAAAAAUCAUAUGGGAAACAUCGUAGCAAUCCAUAUUAUUUUAAAGAAAAACACUACAAAAUAAAAUUCUUAACAGCUCAAUAUGUAAAAAAAUAAAAUCGACAAAAAUCGUUUUGAAAAAAAAAAAUUUAAAAACCAUGUAGUUGUAGCAAUUCAUAAUGUUUUAAAGAAUAAAAACUACAUAAUUUAAUUAUCGACCAAUUUAAUAUUAAAAAAAAGUGAUAAAAAAAAUUUUAAAAAAAGAAGAAGAAGAAGAAGACAAUCUUGGGGGUAAAAAUAAAAACAUGUAAAACCCACACAAAAAAGGGUAAAAAUUAAAAAAAAUGUGGGAAAAAAAAUGUUAAACAAAAAUAAAAGGAAAAAACAAAAAAAACAAAACUCUGCUGGAUUUGAACAAUAUCACUAUCAUGAGAUCCUAAUAAAUUACUUAAGCAUCUAAUCUGGUUGUCCAGGUGUUGUCUUCUAGGACAACUCAUCUCAACAACUGAACAAAGCAAAUCAAAAAGCAGUGCUAGACCCACAACGCCAUAAACAAAUUGGAGUUUGGCAGAUCAGAGAGAUUGGGCCUAUAAUGUUACAGUUCAGAUUAGUAGAUGCCUUCUAACGGAGGAUAAAAAAAUGUGGGGAAAGUAACAGUACUUUCUCCACACACGUAACUAGGGUGUUUGAAUGGGAGGUAGCUUUUGCUUUUUUAAGUAAAAAGCAUGUUUUUUUAGCUUUUAGAGAUGUGAUUUGUACUUAAAAGAUAUUGUACCUUUGACAAAAAGCCACAAUAUUCCUAAAAAGUGUAUUAUUUGAGAUAAAUUAUAUUGCAGGUUUUAUUUAAAAUUAUUAAGAAUUUAUCUUUUUUUUUUCUUCUCAAUAUUCCUAAUUCUAGUGUUAUUGAAUAAAUUCAUAAAAUUUUAAGUUUUUUAGAAAGUAAAAACAAUUUUUUUAUGCCUUUUUUUAUUUUUGUUUACCUUUUUUAUUAUUAUUUUCCCUUUUUAAUUGAGAAUAAAAAAUAUUGCACAAUAUAUUUGCAUUUAACAGGUAUGUGGAUUGAGCAUAUAACAGGGAAAAAAAACAAUACACCAAAAAACAAUAUGAGAGUCCACAAAUAAAUAAACAAAGAUCCCUAAAUUUUUCUUUAAUUUUCUAAUAUAAAAAAAAUUUUAUUUUACCAAAUAUCAAAACAAAAUGGGAUAAAAAUUGUAAAGAUAUAAGGAUGUGUUUUGCUGAAAAUAUUCUAUAAUUUUAGCUGGUUGGAUCAGAGAUCUAGGCUCGAGCCACUCUUCUUCUUCUUUUUUUAUUGGGUUAGAUGUAGGCAAGCUGUACGGGCUAGGCCAGAUUCAGCCUGGCCUGGUACCAGUAACUGGCUGAGUUGUUUUCCCCGCGGGUGUGUGAAUUUAAUCGCACACGCCUGCUACAGUCGUUGGUUAAUUAAAAUGUGAAGAGAGGGAAACCGAAGCCCUUACCUCUGCGACCGGAUGCCGAAGCUUGAAGAUGAUGGCGUAGCGUUGGAGAGCUUUCCUUCUGCUAUACCCGUCGUUCCUCUUCUCUGUGACCUCUUGUUUCUUUUUCUGUCUUCUUUUUUUGGUUUUGGUAUUUCUCUCCCUCGGUCUCUCUCUAUCCUCUCUGUCUCUUUUCUUUUUUUCUUUUUCUUUUUUCCGAUUCCCUGCGAUGGCUGCUUCGUUGGCUUUUGACAGGGGACUCUCCUUUACUUCCGCCCACGUCUCCUUUCCUGAGAAGCACGGCGUGGGCGGAGUUAUUUUUUCUGCAAGGACUCCAGCUGGGCAGCAUUUCGGUUUUCUUCACUGGUAGCUUCCCAUGUUGUCAGACUCGGCCAGUUUCGUUUUUCGUUUCAAAAUAAUUUUAAAAAAAAUAAUUUAAUUUAUUUAUAUUUAUAGAUAAUUUUAAUGUUUUAUAUUAAAAAUAAUUUUUAAAAAAUAAAAAAUAUAUUAUUUUAAUAUAUUUUUAAAUAAAAAACAUUUCAUAAAAACAAAUUAAAAUUAUAUUCCAAACAUCCAUAAAAAUAAUGAAUGGGCACGAAACUACAUCAUUUCGGGGGUGGUGUAGCUGUUUUUCAAUUUUAUCCUCUACGUUUUGACAUUUCUUUUAUCAACUCCUAGGACAAAUUGUAAUUAAACCUCUGCGGCACCUCUUACAAAAAGUUUAAUUGAGUCUUAUACUUUACUUAUUAAUUCUUUCCAUUUCUAUCACACUUAACUUCUAAACUCAUAAUUUCACCCUGUAACCCUUAACACUUUCCAUUUAUGUUGUUUUGACUUCAAUUUCAAUUUUUUUUCAUUUCAUUUUAAUUUUUUUUAUAUAAAAAAUACAAUUAAAAACAAAAUUUGAAAUUUGGGUUAUUACAUCAUCAAUUGAGUUUAUAUAUAUAUAUAUAUAUAAAAAAAAAAAAAACUUAAGAACCAAGAAAAGUACCCUGGUGAGUAAAACAUGUUCCUAUCUUACACACUAAUAAAAGCUAAAUGUUAGCUCAAGACCUUUGGGAUUUUAUUGAGCCUACUGGUCUUCAAGAAGUUGACUCUAAGCCUAUUGAUCAUCAAGAAGGUGACUCUAAGGCGUUGAGAAGAAAGAAUGCUGCAGCUUUACAUGCAAUUCAAAUUUCUUGUGCACCAUACGUACUUUCCAAGAUUAGGAGCAUCACUUCAGCGAAAAAUACUUUCCAAUAUGGUUGGAGCCUAGGGUGUU